GAUGAACGCUGGCGGCGUGCCUAAUACAUGCAAGUCGAGCGAACAGACGAGGAGCUUGCUCCUCUGACGUUAGCGGCGGACGGGUGAGUAACACGUGGAUAACCUACCUAUAAGACUGGGAUAACUUCGGGAAACCGGAGCUAAUACCGGAUAAUAUAUUGAACCGCAUGGUUCAAUAGUGAAAGACGGUUUUGCUGUCACUUAUAGAUGGAUCCGCGCCGCAUUAGCUAGUUGGUAAGGUAACGGCUUACCAAGGCAACGAUGCGUAGCCGACCUGAGAGGGUGAUCGGCCACACUGGAACUGAGACACGGUCCAGACUCCUACGGGAGGCAGCAGUAGGGAAUCUUCCGCAAUGGGCGAAAUCCUGACGGAGCAACGCCGCGUGAGUGAUGAAGGUCUUCGGAUCGUAAAACUCUGUUAUUAGGGAAGAACAAAUGUGUAAGUAACUAUGCACGUCUUGACGGUACCUAAUCAGAAAGCCACGGCUAACUACGUG
RNAcentral lists this ribosomal RNA (497 nucleotides) under uncultured bacterium. RNAcentral's name for it is "partial 16S ribosomal RNA". It matches the Rfam family "Bacterial small subunit ribosomal RNA", at positions 28 to 507 of the family's 1533-position model. The record is from RNAcentral.